This is a long non-coding RNA of Homo sapiens (human), 407 nucleotides long. Ensembl annotates it as long intergenic non-protein coding RNA 2155. Lineage: Eukaryota; Metazoa; Chordata; Mammalia; Primates; Hominidae. The record is from Ensembl.
AUGGAGGUAGAGGAAGAUUCAACAUUUGAUGGCAGAGUGUCUUUGACAAAGUUACAGGAUCAAAAUUGAAAGGAGAGCUUUUGGAUUACAUGCUAGCCAAGCUAAUGCUGACUUCUGUUCAGAGAAAAUUUGGAUAUUUAUUCUUUACACUGAAGAUCCCGACUUCCAUUACACAGGUGCAGAUGGGAAAUCAGAAAAUAUAUUCAAAAGCAUUUUAAUUUUAAACAUAUGCACUUGAUUGUUUACUAUAGAUAUUCUCUGAGUUUGAAAAAGCAUAAAGGCUCAACCAAGAUACCGCAAAAAUACCAAGCAAAAAGCAAGAAAGCCCUUGCCAGAUACUGGCCUCUCAAUCUUGGACUCCUCAGCCCCCCAUAACUGUGAGCCAAUAAAUUUAUGUUCAUUAUCAA